Molecule: ribosomal RNA, 253 nt
Filed under: uncultured bacterium
Lineage: Bacteria
Description: partial 16S ribosomal RNA
Rfam family: Bacterial small subunit ribosomal RNA
Source: RNAcentral
UACGGUGGGGGCGAGCGUUGUUCGGAAUUAUUGGGCGUAAAGGGCGCGUAGGCGGUGUGGUAAGUCUGUUGUGAAACCUCCAGGCUCAACUUGGAGCUUGCAUCAGAAACUGCCGUGCUAGAGUGUGGGAGAGGAGAGUGGAAUUCCUGGUGUAGCGGUGAAAUGCGUAGAUAUCAGGAGGAACACCGGUGGCGAAAGCGGCUCUCUGGACCACAACUGACGCUGAGGCGCGAAAGCUAGGGGAGCAAACAGG